This 429-nucleotide ribosomal RNA is filed under the name Verrucomicrobiota bacterium. RNAcentral's name for it is "Verrucomicrobia bacterium partial 16S ribosomal RNA". It matches the Rfam family "Bacterial small subunit ribosomal RNA", at positions 355 to 776 of the family's 1533-position model. The record is from RNAcentral. Lineage: Bacteria; Pseudomonadati; Verrucomicrobiota.
UAGGGAAUCUUCCGCAAUGGACGAAAGUCUGACGGAGCAACGCCGCGUGAGUGAAGAAGGAUUUCGGUUCGUAAAACUCUGUUGUUAGGGAAGAAAAAAUGUAUAGUAACUAUAUACAAAAGAGACGGUACCUAACCAGAAAGCCACGGCUAACUACGUGCCAGCAGCCGCGGUAAUAUGUAGGUGGCAAGCGUUGUCCGGAAUUAUUGGGCGUAAAGCGCGCGCAGGUGGUUUAGAAAGUCUGAUGUGAAAGCCCACGGCUCAACCGUGGAGGGUCAUUGGAAACUAAUAAACUUGAGUGCAGGAGAGAAAAGUGGAAUUCCUAGUGUAGCGGUGAAAUGCGUAGAGAUUAGGAGGAACACCGGUGGCGAAAGCGGCUUUUUGGCCUGCAACUGACACUGAGGCGCGAAAGCGUGGGGAGCAAACAGG